RNAcentral lists this unclassified non-coding RNA (508 nucleotides) under Hevea brasiliensis (rubber tree). Lineage: Eukaryota; Viridiplantae; Streptophyta; Magnoliopsida; Malpighiales; Euphorbiaceae. The record is from RNAcentral.
UAUCUGAAGUUGAUGCUACAGCCACGUCAAAAGUGCAGAAUUCUUUGCCCUCACGUGCAUGCUGAACAUUAUUCCACCUUGUCUGCAAGUGAACCACAGAUUCUUCCAGGUCAGGGGCAAAAAGCUGUUGCAUUUGAGCAGCUAAACGUGUCAAUCCACUAGCUGUAUCAUGGCAAGUGUUCAGAACAAUCUGUGACUCUGAACAAUCAAUUUCCCAAAGAGCACCACUUCCAGAACUGAUUCUUAAAAGAGCUUCAACAUCUGACCCUUGAGCAACUUUAACAUAUCCCGUCUUGCGAAGAUGCUCCACACUGUAGACACUGCCAGCACAGUUCGGUGCACGCACUGCAGAAAGAAGCAGACCCAGAUCCUGUGCAGUAAUUUUGUAAUCCUUGAUAACAGAAUCAGCAAAGGUUGUACUGGAAAACCUCAAGGAAGAUGCAGCCAACAGACAUGCUACAUGUUGCUCAUCUAUUGCUUCCUCACAAUUGGGAGAACUUGACUGAGA